Molecule: RNA transcript, 2188 nt
Organism: Epinephelus moara (kelp grouper)
Lineage: Eukaryota; Metazoa; Chordata; Actinopteri; Perciformes; Serranidae
Gene: copz2
Gene name: COPI coat complex subunit zeta 2
Exons: 10
Source: RefSeq, a predicted model, not a curated record
GAACGGGCGCGCGCCCGGGCGGCUCCGUAAAAAAAAAAAAAAAAAGAAAAAAAAAGAAAGCGGUGAUCUCGGUGUGACAGCUCAGAGCUGUCCACGUCAACACACCGAGCGAGCACGGCGGCGGCGGCAGCGAUGGACUCCACGUCUCUGGAACCUUCCCUUUACACAGUGAAAGCAGUUUUCAUUCUUGACAAUGAUGGCAACAGACUUCUGUCAAAGUACUAUGACCCUGAGCUUUACCCCUCCAUGAAGGAACAGAAGAAUUUUGAGAGGAACAUUUUCAACAAGACACACAAAGCUGACAAUGAGAUAGCUUUCCUGGAGGGGAUGACCAUCGUCUAUAAGAGCAGCAUAGAUCUCUUCUUCUAUGUGGUGGGAAGUGCUCAGGAGAAUGAGCUGAUGCUGAUGUCGGUACUGAACUGCCUGUUUGAGUCCCUCAGUCAGAUCCUCAGGAAAAAUGUGGAGCGGAGGUGUUUACUGGACAACAUGGAGGGAGUGUUCUUGGUUGUGGAUGAAAUCAUUGAUGGAGGGGUAAUUCUGGAGAGUGACCCCCAGCAGGUCCUACAGAAGGUCAACUACAGGCUAAUGUCAGAGCCAGCCUAUGGCUUCGUCCUGUUUGAUUACAUCACCGGUAACGUAGAGGGACAAACAGACAAGAGCCAGCUGCUGUAGACAGACAGACAGACAGACACACAGAGGGCGGAUGAAAACCCAUUAUCUGAACAAAGUGUGGCCCAGGUUCUGCAGUCGGCCAAGGAGCAGAUUAAAUGGUCCAUACUGAAAUGACUUGGACCAGACAAAUGUAAUAUUCUCAAGAAAACAUUUUUAGUCCCAAAGCUAUUUUUUUAUAGUGACACACUAAAGGGAAGGUUGUUACAAGCCUGUAGGCCAAUAAGCUUAUAGCUUUAUAUAGCAAUUAACCAGCCAGUAAUAGAAUUAGAUUUCUAUGUGUAAUGGCAUUUUGUUACAUUGUGUGUGACAUGAAAUUAAUUUAUUUGGUUUUGGAUUGAUGUUGGUUCAUACUCGUGUAGAUUUGUCAUGAGGAAAUGAAGGAGGAAGUGAAAGCUCGGCUCUCAGUGUCCAGCUGUGCUUCUGUAAAAGGCAGUUAGUACCAAACUAAUCAAUGAAAAUACUGGAAGCCUGAUCAGCGAUCAGUAAUCUAUUGCUUUUAUUUGGGUGGAGCAGGAUUUUCCACUCUUACUUACUCAAAACUGAAUAUGACUUUGGGGUUUAUUUGCAUAUACUGCUAAUAUGCAUAAUUUGAAAGUUACAGUUUUUUUUAUUAACUUUUUUUUCCGCCAAAAUGUUACACAUGGAACAACUGGGCUAAAUCUAGCCCAUGAUAGGAUGCCAGGUCCCCAGACCACUUCCUAAUUCACAAUGAAAAUAAAACUGAUUCACACUUGGAUUGUUUUGCACUUUUAAUUUGAAUAAGGGGCCAAAGUGCAUUAAAAAAUGCCAAGAGAGAACCCCCUGGAUAACCCAACAUAGUUCCAGGCUAAGCUGCACAUGUCCUCAAAUCUGUGAUCACCUCGGGCAAGUGGAGUAUCCCUGAUCUAACAAAUUAUUUGGAAAAUAAGAACAGAAGCAGAAAAAAACAAAACAAACAAAACACCAGCAGAUACUCGCAAAUUCAAGCUAAAAAGCUGAAUAUCACAUAAGAAAUUUUUACCACAUUAUUUUACAGGGGUGGUGUUAAAUUCACUCACACACUGACAUCAUUUGUGCACUGAAAUGCUCACUUUUGUUGUUCCUUACAUGACACUUGCGGUACAUGUGUUUCGUAGAAUUUAUCUGAAGACUGUAAAGGAAUGUAAUGAUGCCUUAUGACACUAAACAACUAUUCUAGCACCAUGUGUACGAGGAAACAUGUUACUGUUGCACCGUCAGCAAAACCCUCAUUUUCCUAAAGGUGGAAUUCCCUUAUAAAGGUAAAUUAGUAUCUGUACAGAUAAUUGAUCUGAGAGUCAAAGGGACCUUGAAGAGUUCUAAAGAAUUAUGUCUAUUUUCUGAGACUGAAAGAGGUUCAUAGAUAUUAAUUAUUUUCUUAGUUGAAAAGAAGAGGAAAAAGAAAACCAAAGACACUGUUUACAUUUGGAUGUUGUUGAAACAGACUGCAUGGUGUCAGAUGUAGGGCGUUUUGUCUGUCCACCAUAUGUGACACUGAUAAUAAAAUAUUUGUCCUGGA